Molecule: small RNA, 157 nt
Filed under: Sphenodon punctatus (tuatara)
Lineage: Eukaryota; Metazoa; Chordata; Lepidosauria; Sphenodontia; Sphenodontidae
Description: TUC338 (ENSSPUG00000015062.1)
Source: RNAcentral
CGGAGAGACGGAAGUCUUCUGUUUAUCCACAGUGCCAGUAAAACAGGCAGCAGCAACAUUCUCGUCUCCAUAUUAUCCUGCCAAUGUGCCACAAUUCUGACCUGGCAGGACCAGCUCUGUCAGGGUAGAUUCCAUGUACAGUCAUUCAAUGACCCCU